RNAcentral lists this ribosomal RNA (440 nucleotides) under Dehalococcoidales bacterium. RNAcentral describes it as "partial 23S ribosomal RNA". It matches the Rfam family "Bacterial large subunit ribosomal RNA", at positions 1 to 404 of the family's 2925-position model. The record is from RNAcentral. Lineage: Bacteria; Bacillati; Chloroflexota; Dehalococcoidia; Dehalococcoidales.
GGUCAAGCGGGUGAAAGCGCACGGUGGAUGCCUUGGCAUCAAGGGCCGAAGAAGGGCGUAGCACGGCUACGAUAAGCCUCGGUGAGCUGCCAAACAAGCCAAGCCGGGGAUACCCGAAUGGGGCAACCCGCUCAGGAAAAACCUGAGCACCCCCAGCUGAACACAUAGGCUGGGAGGAGGUAAGCAGGGGAAGUGAAACAUCUCAGUACCCUGAGGAAAAGAAAUUAUUCCCUGAGUUGUGGCGAACGAAAGGGGAAGAGCCUAAACCUGGUAAGCUUAACGGCGUCAGGGCCUAUGUUUACCAGGUGUUGUAAGACAGGUAGGACUGAACCUGAAAUAAGUCGAGGAGUUACCAACCGAACCCUAGUCGAAGGUCUCUGGAAAGAGUAGCCAUAGAGGGUGACAGCCCCGUAGAUGAAAGGGGGAGGCUCCUUACCUGU